ACUCCUACGGGAGGCAGCAGUGGGGAAUUUUACGCAAUGGGGGAAACCCUGACGUAGCGACACCGCGUGAGCGAAGAAGCCCUUUGGGGUGUAAAGCUCUGUCAGCUGGAACGAAAACAAUGACGGUACCAGCAGAGGAAGCAUCGGCUAACUACGUGCCAGCAGCCGCGGUAAGACGUAGGAUGCGAGCGUUGUCCGGAUUUAUUGGGCGUAAAGAGCUCGUAGGUGGUUUGUUAAGUUUGGUGUUAAAGAUCGGGGCUCAACCCUGGGACUGCACUGAAUACUGGUAGACUCGAGUGUGGUAGAGGCUAGUGGAAUUCCCAGUGGAGCGGUGAAAUGCGUAGAUAUUGGGAAGAACACCGGUGGCGUAGGCGACUAGCUGGGCCAUAACUGACGCUGAGGAACGAAAGCCAGGGGAGCGAAUGGGAUUAGAAACCCCGGUAGUCC
This 447-nucleotide ribosomal RNA is filed under the name uncultured organism. RNAcentral's name for it is "partial 16S ribosomal RNA". It matches the Rfam family "Bacterial small subunit ribosomal RNA", at positions 335 to 796 of the family's 1533-position model. The record is from RNAcentral.